This 73-nucleotide transfer RNA is filed under the name Canis lupus familiaris (dog). It matches the Rfam family "tRNA". From Rfam's summary of the family: Transfer RNA (tRNA) molecules are approximately 80 nucleotides in length. The record is from Rfam by way of RNAcentral. RNAcentral also lists the same sequence under 1 other name. Lineage: Eukaryota; Metazoa; Chordata; Mammalia; Carnivora; Canidae.
GCCUGAUUGGUUCAGUUGGUAGAGCACGUGACUCUUGCUCUUAGGGUCGUGAGUUCAAGCCCCACACUGGGCA